AGCGAACGCGGAUGGGGCUAAACCGUAUGUGUGUGAUACCCGGCAGGGGUUGCAUGUGCGGUGUUGUGGGCCCCUCCUUGUCAUGUCUGCCGGCAUGGCGCAGUGAGGUGCGGGCAUAUAGACGAACAGUGUGGAUGCUGGACCGUAGAGGGUGAGAGUCCCGUAGUCGAAAUGUGUUCCGCCGCUGUUGGAGGGUUGCCCGAGUAGCACGGGGCCCGAGGAAUCCCGUGUGAAUCUGCCAGGACCACCUGGU
Molecule: ribosomal RNA, 253 nt
Filed under: Micrococcus luteus
Lineage: Bacteria; Bacillati; Actinomycetota; Actinomycetes; Micrococcales; Micrococcaceae
Description: partial 23S ribosomal RNA
Rfam family: Bacterial large subunit ribosomal RNA
Source: RNAcentral